Molecule: ribosomal RNA, 292 nt
Filed under: uncultured bacterium
Lineage: Bacteria
Description: partial 16S ribosomal RNA
Rfam family: Bacterial small subunit ribosomal RNA
Source: RNAcentral
GUGUCAGCCGCCGCGGUAAAACGUAGGAGCCUAGCGUUAUCCGAAUUCACUGGGCGUAAAGCGCGUGCAGGCGGUUCGGUAAGUUGGAUGUGAAAUCUCCUGGCUCAACUGGGAGAGGACGUUCAAGACUGUCGGACUAGAGGACGGUAGAGGAAGGUAGAAUUCCCGGUGUAGUGGUGAAAUGCGUAGAUAUCGGGAGGAAUACCAGUGGCGAAGGCGGCCUUCUGGGCCGUUCCUGACGCUCAGACGCGAAAGCUAGGGGAGCAAACGGGAUUAGAAACCCUAGUAGUCC